AAACAUGUGCAUGCGAAGUGCGCCUGUGGUUCGAACACCGCUUCACUCUUGGUUGGGUAUCAGGUCGUCAGCGUACCUGCAGCGCCUGAGGGUGUAUGAUGUUGUCCUCCUCCACGAUCAACAGAAUGUCGUAACCCAUAAUGUCGAAAGCGAAAGCCUUGACAAAGUAAUGGUGCAGACCCGCACAAAGGUUUGCUGGAUGGCGAAUGUAGGCGAAUUGUGUAUCGCUGGGGAUGGACACGGUUCCAUUCUCGAAGAUAGAAGCGGCGCCGCCA
Molecule: long non-coding RNA, 275 nt
Filed under: Volvox carteri
Lineage: Eukaryota; Viridiplantae; Chlorophyta; Chlorophyceae; Chlamydomonadales; Volvocaceae
Description: long non-coding RNA (VCAR_LNC000526)
Source: RNAcentral